RNAcentral lists this ribosomal RNA (492 nucleotides) under uncultured bacterium. RNAcentral describes it as "partial 16S ribosomal RNA". It matches the Rfam family "Bacterial small subunit ribosomal RNA", at positions 29 to 507 of the family's 1533-position model. The record is from RNAcentral.
AGUGAACGCUGGCGGUAGGCCUAACACAUGCAAGUCGAACGGCAGCACAGUAAGAGCUUGCUCUUACGGGUGGCGAGUGGCGGACGGGUGAGGAAUACAUCGGAAUCUACUUUUUCGUGGGGGAUAAUGUAGGGAAACUUACGCUAAUACCGCAUACGACCUACGGGUGAAAGCAGGGGAUCUUCGGACCUUGCGCGAUUGAAUGAGCCGAUGUCGGAUUAGCUAGUUGGCGGGGUAAGGGCCCACCAAGGCGACGAUCCGUAGCUGGUCUGAGAGGAUGAUCAGCCACACUGGAACUGAGACACGGUCCAGACUCCUACGGGAGGCGGCAGUGGGGAAUAUUGGACAAUGGGCGCAAGCCUGAUCCAGCCAUACCGCGUGGGUGAAGAAGGCCUUCGGGUUGUAAAGCCCUUUUGUUGGGAAAGAAAAGCAGCAGGUUAAUACCCCGCUGUUCUGACGGUACCCAAAGAAUAAGCACCGGCUAACUUCGUG